AACGCGAAGAACCUUACCCACUCUUGACAUCCAGAGAACUUUCCAGAGAUGGAUUGGUGCCUUCGGGAACUCUGAGACAGGUGCUGCAUGGCUGUCGUCAGCUCGUGUUGUGAAAUGUUGGGUUAAGUCCCGCAACGAGCGCAACCCUUAUCCUUUGUUGCCAGCGGUCCGGCCGGGAACUCAAAGGAGACUGCCAGUGAUAAACUGGAGGAAGGUGGGGAUGACGUCAAGUCAUCAUGGCCCUUACGAGUAGGGCUACACACGUGCUACAAUGGCGCAUACAAAGAGAAGCGACCUCGCGAGAGCAAGCGGACCUCAUAAAGUGCGUCGUAGUCCGGAUUGGAGUCUGCAACUCGACUCCAUGAAGUCGGAAUCGCUAGUAAUCGUAGAUCAGAAUGCUACGGUGAAUACGUUCCCGGGUCUUGUACACACCG
This 434-nucleotide ribosomal RNA is filed under the name uncultured Pantoea sp. RNAcentral describes it as "bacterial SSU rRNA". It matches the Rfam family "Bacterial small subunit ribosomal RNA", at positions 958 to 1392 of the family's 1533-position model. Lineage: Bacteria; Pseudomonadati; Pseudomonadota; Gammaproteobacteria; Enterobacterales; Erwiniaceae. The record is from RNAcentral.